Molecule: unclassified non-coding RNA, 449 nt
Filed under: Hevea brasiliensis (rubber tree)
Lineage: Eukaryota; Viridiplantae; Streptophyta; Magnoliopsida; Malpighiales; Euphorbiaceae
Source: RNAcentral
CUAAACAUCAACUUCAUACCGAUACCAGGAAGUCUGAAACAGGACUAGAUUAGCUGUCUGAAUUGGAUAACUUUGGAAUAUUUUAAUUACCUGCCCCAGGGAAAAAAAAAAAACAAAGGGCAACUUUGGGAAUCAAUCAGUGCCAACCGAAAGUGAAAGCUUAUCAAAUUUCUUUACCUAUUCAUUUAGAGAGAGAUUCAUGAAUGCAUAUAAACAACUGCAGAUAUAUCGUAGUUUAAGCACCUUCACCUCCGUCAAUAGAACAGUAGCUCAACAAGAGAGACAGGACUAGGCUCAAGCUCAAGAUUCUUCUGUUUUGCCUCCAAUGCCUAACUCAGAAAAGCAAAAGAACAAGCCUCCUGCAGGAUACCCCACAGAGACUCUCACCACUGAGAAGAAGUGUUUCCCUCAUACAAAGAAGAAAGGAGACAGAGGCUUCAUUGAAGGAU